RNAcentral lists this ribosomal RNA (253 nucleotides) under uncultured bacterium. RNAcentral describes it as "partial 16S ribosomal RNA". It matches the Rfam family "Bacterial small subunit ribosomal RNA", at positions 524 to 776 of the family's 1533-position model. The record is from RNAcentral.
UACGUAGGGUGCGAGCGUUGUCCGGAAUUAUUGGGCGGAAAGGGCUCGUAGGCGGUUUGUCACGUCGGGAGUGAAAACUCGGGGCUUAACCUGGGAACUGCGUUUGAAACUGGAAGGCUAGAGUGUGGCAGAGGGGGGUGGAAUUCCACGUGUAGCAGUGAAAUGCGUAGAGAUGUGGAGGAACACCGAUGGCGAAGGCAGCCCCCUGGGCUAACACUGACGCUCAUGCACGAAAGCGUGGGGAGCAAACAGG